GGCUGUAGCUCAGCGGUAGAGCACAUGCCUAACAUGUGUGAGGCACUGGGUUCAAUCCUCAGCACCA
RNAcentral lists this transfer RNA (67 nucleotides) under Marmota monax (woodchuck). RNAcentral describes it as "tRNA.Val". It matches the Rfam family "tRNA", at positions 6 to 65 of the family's 71-position model. Rfam says of the family: Transfer RNA (tRNA) molecules are approximately 80 nucleotides in length. Their secondary structure includes four short double-helical elements and three loops (D, anti-codon, and T loops). Further hydrogen bonds mediate the characteristic L-shaped molecular structure. tRNAs have two regions of fundamental functional importance: the anti-codon, which is responsible for specific mRNA codon recognition, and the 3' end, to which the tRNAs corresponding amino acid is attached (by aminoacyl-tRNA synthetases). tRNAs cope with the degeneracy of the genetic code in two manners: having more than one tRNA (with a specific anti-codon) for a particular amino acid; and 'wobble' base-pairing, i.e. permitting non-standard base-pairing at the 3rd anti-codon position. Lineage: Eukaryota; Metazoa; Chordata; Mammalia; Rodentia; Sciuridae. The record is from RNAcentral.